Brassica napus (rape) is the source of this 4959-nucleotide long non-coding RNA. RefSeq lists it as uncharacterized. NCBI's taxonomy places the organism in Eukaryota, Viridiplantae, Streptophyta, Magnoliopsida, Brassicales, Brassicaceae. The record is from RefSeq and is a predicted model, not a curated record. The transcript has 2 exons.
UUACUUUUUGAGCUCUUCCCAAAAAUGGCAACGGGACAACUGUUUUCUCGGACCACACAAGCUCUGUUCUACAACUAUAAGCAGCUCCAUGUUCAACGAAUGCUCGAUUUCUGAUUUCCUCUGUGGACGUGAAACGCCUUCUGUAAAAAAAAAAAAAAAAAAAAAAAACGCCUUCUGUUGCUGGAAUCAUCAACCCUGGCUCUGAAGGGUUUCAGAAGCUCUUCUUCGGACAGGAGGAGAUCGCUAUCCCUGUCCAUGCCGCGUAAGUAUUAUAUAGAAUCUGAGAGAAACUUUACUAUAUGUUUUUGAACUUGUUUUUUAUGAAUGGGAAGCUGAACAAAAAGUGGUUCGCCAGCUUGUGUGGAGCAUCCACUCCCAAAUUGCCAUUCACCAAAACAAAAUAAUUGUGUGAGUACAACUAUCAAAAUAAUAAUAUAAAAUUCUGAUCCACAAACAGUCUAAUUUAAAGAGCAAAUAUGAAGAUCCGCUAGGAACAGUAUAAACACUCCUCAUUUGAAGUGUUUUGUGCGGUCUAUCUAUAUUUUUUGUUUUAUUUAUAUUCUAAAAUAUUAUAAAAUUCUAGUUGUGUAAGAAUUUUGUUAUAUAAGCUAAAUCUAUUACAUAAUUUUAUGUUUUAUAUUAAGUUCAUUAUAUUAUUUUCUAUGAUAUUUUAUUUAUUUGAUUUAAAAGUUUUAUAUGUCGGUUCACUAGGGACGGACAACCGACAUGUGGGCCGAUAACGUAGGCUGCUAACAUAUAACUAGUCUGGAUCCACUUCGAUGGGAGCCAUGAUUUCUCUGUAUAAUUUAAUUUUUUUUUUUAAUUAUGUAAAAUUGCAAAUUUAAAUUAGUUUCAGUCAUAUAAGUGUCGAAAAAAUCAGUCUUACACAAAAUAAGAACUUAUAUAAUAUAUUAAAUAUUCGUAUUCAAAAUUCUAUUCUAAUUUAUGUUUUUAUUUUUAAUUCUAAAAUCUACGUGUACGAAACCGGCAAACUUUUGAAUAAUUUAGAUGGUACCCAAACCUAAAUUGAAACACGGAAAUAUCCAAACAAAAAUUUAUUAAUAUACGAAUGAAAUUUAAAUCUCUAACCUGGAAACUUGAAAUUCGAGUAGAACAGAACCGAAUCUAAAUGGGUAUCCAAACGCCCACUCUAAUUAUAUUACUUUAUCAAAAACAUAAUUAUUUUUAAUUCAUUUAAAGUUAGAUAUAAAUUUUAUUUUACAACUCAAUCUAUAUAUAUAUAUAUAUGUGUGUGUGUGUGUGUGUUUAAAAUAAUUUGUAUUAUAUUUUGAAUAAAAUUUAUAUAACUUAUUUUUUUAAAAUAAAUACUUUGAAUUAUAAAAUUACAUAAUAAUAUAAAUUAUUUUAAAUAUAUACAGUAUUUUGAACCAUUUUUUAUCCACUUUCACCAUUCAUACAUAUGUUUUAGACCGCUAGAUCCGCUUGAUCCACUCUUGUACUGCUAGAUCUGCUCGAUCCGCUCUUGUUUCACUCGAUCCGCUUGAUCCGCUAGAUACGCAACGCUAGAUCCGCUCUUUCCAUUCAAAGCCUUUGUUUAUACAACAGCAUUGAGGCAGCCUGUGUUGCUCUAAAAACCGCGGAUGUAUUCAUCAACUUCGCAUCUUUUAGGAGGUUUGUAUUAACAAAACUUACCAUUGUCUCUUUGUGAUACUUUUGUUGAUCGGUUCGGAUUUUGGUUAGUUUGGUUCAGAAUUUUGGUUAACUUAUUGCUCGGUUUAAGUUUGAAGUUUUAAUUUUAGAACUUAUUUUAGAAUUUUUAGAAUUUUUUAAUUUUUAUUUUCUUUUUUAAAUUUGACAUUUUAAUUUUAGAUCUUAUUUUAUUUUCAAGUUUGAAAUUUUAAUUUUAAUUUUUUUUGAAUUUUUUAGAUUUUUUUUUUUUUUUUUUUUUACAAUUUUUUUCUAAUCUCAUUCGAUUUUUUUGUAUUAUUAUUUUUUUAUUUAAAAAAAAAGAAACCGACACGUUAUUAUUUUAACCUAUAAAAUAAAUAGUACCGGUCGUAUAUGAAAAAAAAACAUCUCUAAAGAUUUAUUAUGAUAAAAAUGCAACUUUGAAGAUUUAAAGUGAUAGUCAAAAAACUUCAAUAUUUAAAGUGCUAGAAAAUUACACUUUCGGUGUUUAAAAUGUGAUUUUCUCUAUCUAAAUUGGUUAUUGGGUGACGUGAGUGGCUGUUUUUCAUACUUUUAUCAAUUAUAUUAUAAUGUUUUGAAUACUAUAAAAACUAAGAAAAUAAAAUAAAAUAGAAUUCAUAUGAUUCGAUGGGUCUGUUUCUGUUAAAUUCCUUCUCUGUAAUCGGUGUUUUGAAACUCGACCCGAACCCGCGGUUGAACCGGUAAAUCCGGUGAUCCAGAAAAAAUCUGGUUUGGGUUUUGUGAAAAACCCAAAAUUUAGAAACCCGCAAAAAACUACUCAAACUCAGAACUUGAUACCGGUUGAACCACCGAUUAAAUCAAUAAAUAACUUUUACUUUUUUUUUUUUAGUUUUUAGAUAAAAAGUUAGGUUUUCCUUUUUCAGUUUUAUAUUUUUAUUAGAUUUUCAUGAAGAUUUCAUUAUGCCACCAGAAAAAAAAUGAAAUGAACAAUGAUAGAGAGAAUCAAAAUUAGCUGAUAUGAUUUGAUGUUAAUUUAUUUCUGUUAUUGACAAUUUAUUACAAUGAUCUUUUAUUUUUGGUUUAUUUUGAAUUUGAAGUUUAUUUAUCAUUCACAUUAGACAUUAAUAUUUUCAAUCUCAAGUUCCAACUUUUUAAAAUUUUCAUCUCUAUUUUGAUUUUCUUCAUUCAAAAUAUAUUUGUUUUCUUUUAAAAGCUUAAAGUAUGAAUGAUUAUGUUCACUUAUUUAAAUAUUUAUGAAUAUUAUAUCUUGAUUUUUUAGAUGUCAUAACUCUUAUUUUGUUACAAAAAUUUUUAAAUAGUCUAAAUAAUUUUUUGAUAUCUUUUUAUGUCAAAGGAAAAUAAAAAUAUAAAAACUAAAAUUUAGUAAUUUUAAAUACUUUUUAAACAUAAAAUAUAUACAUAUCCAAACUAUUAUUUUAUGUUUUAAAAACAUUUAAAAAAUAUUAAACUUUAGUUUUUAUAUAUUUAUAAGUAAAAUAUUAUUAUAUAAUAAAAUUAAUUUAUUUAUUAAUCUGCAGUUCAUCCGCAGUCGAUCCAGUGAUCCGGUAAGUCGUUCGGUGGGGGUUUAAAAACAUUGUCUGUAAUUGAUUAUGACAUUUAUUUGCCAUGUCAGUAUCGCAAUCCACGUCAAUUCGUGCUAAUCGACCCAAACAAAUCAUUUUCGUUCAGAAAAUAGUACCCAAGACGGAUUCGUAUCUAGUUCAUUUUUUUUUUUGGUAAAAUUUUUAAAAAAGGUGUUUUCACCUCUUUGCCGGGAACCCAAGCAAUGUAAAUAAUCCUUCCCAGCGCGAAUGACUCUCGUUUAUAUCUUAAAGUUUCAGACUGGCCAGAAUAUUAUAUGAAGACUUGUACUAACGAGUAAAAAACAUUUUGAAUAGAUCUAACCACACAAUACAUAUAUGGCCAUAUAUAAAACUAUGUUUUGAAGAGGCUAAUCUUUCUCAAAUUUGAUAAUUCAAUCGGUGGUUACACAUAAAAGUUAAUAUUUCGAAACUCAACAUGACUUUUUGAUUGAUGCACGUUACAUGAUAUGCAGCGAUAUAGAUGACUAGAUGUGGUUGAUAUAGAGUUCAUCUUUAUCCAUACAAAAACAAUAGCAUUGAUGAAUGAGUAAUAUCUAUAUAUCUGAAAUAAAUUUAAGAUAUUAUAUAUGUGAAUUACAAAAUAACGAAAAUGAAAAAGAUAGUUUCAGGAUAAAAAGGUUUGUGGUUUGCUUGGAGCCACCGAGCCACUGCCAACUAACAAUAUCUGUUUAUAUACAUUCCCCUGUUCAUAUGCUCGUAUAUGCAUGCACAUCUCUUCAUAUAAAGCCAUUCUCACACGUAUUAUUGUAUAGGAUUAAUGUGUUGAUUAAAUUGGCAACGUAGCGUGUCUUUGAUGCAAGAAUGCGUCUACUUGUUUCCAACCUUCCAAUGAUAUUACACUCUAUCCACACAACUCAUCGCAUUUAAUCAUACUAUCUAUAUAUUUUACAAGCAUCAAAAUUGUAGUUUUUUUUUCUAAAAUCUUUGAGCUCAUAUACUAAGUUAUAGUUAUAAAACGAGUAUACUGAUCGGUGUUGCCAUUGCCAUUUGUGCUUUAUCUAUAGAAGUUUAAUACAGUUGUUUAGGAAAAAAUAAUUGUAAGGCUGGACCAAAUAAGCCUAAUUUGAUGACGAAACGUAAAUUAUGAUCCUAUCCAUAAGCCAUCAAAAAGACCUACAUGAUAUAGUGCUUCUUUAUUCUGUUUGCUUAAUACUUAAUCAAUAGCGCAAUCUUAUAAACAUUUGAAAGAACUAACCUGGAGGAUUUUAGUAAAACAAAAAUGACUAUAAUCGUUCAAAAGCCAGAGUUGCAUAUAAGAUACAGAUAUAUCACAAUAAAAAUUUACAUGUUGGAGAAUUUAGAGAAAUAGGUCUGGUCAUCAACUUGGAUGAAUUUAGCCUCGUUUAACUAUUGGAUUACGUCUCACUUUCACAAAGUUGCUCGUCUAUUAUUUGUGUCAUGAAAAUAUUAACAAAAAUAUUUGCAUUAACAAAAGAAAUCUAAUCUAUUAGGCUACAUGAGCUCAUAACGAAAAAGACAACGACCAAAUCCCAAAUAGAACCAUGGUUCCUUAACAUUACGUUCAUAUAACAAAAAGAAAACAAAUAUCAUGAUUAUUCAACAAGUGAUAGCAUAAGGAAAACAUAAACAUGGUUUUCAGCGAAGUUUUAAGUAAAUCUUAAAGGAGGGUGAUGACACAACAUGUCAUAAAUAAAAUUUUGGUUCAUCAUAUGGAGCUAAUCAAAUGUCCUUCCAAUGCAUAUUUCAACAAUAAAAGGCAUUUUGACAAAAAAGCGAUCAUAUA